Molecule: RNA transcript, 3696 nt
Organism: Dinoponera quadriceps
Lineage: Eukaryota; Metazoa; Arthropoda; Insecta; Hymenoptera; Formicidae
Gene: rb
Gene name: AP-3 complex subunit beta-1
Exons: 11
Source: RefSeq, a predicted model, not a curated record
AAAAUAUUCUGAACGGCAUGGCCGCUCGCUGAGGACAGCUGUCAAAAGUUUGGAAGUUAGAGAGUGUCCUGGUACGCCGAUAACGCCGUAGGAUACUGGAAUAUCCUCGUGGAAAAGCGACUGACCGUUCCGCAGGGGACCAAGGAGAAGGAUGUUAACGGCGGCUGCGAACACAUUGUCGAAUAACGGCGGGUCUUACAGCAAUGAGAGACCGUCGAGCGCGGGUGACGCGGAUCUCGCGACGGAUCCCGCCUCCGGUGGAUUUUUCCACUCUGAUUAUAAGAAGCAUGAAGAUCUAAAGGAGAUGUUGGACAGUAACAAGGAUGGGCUCAAAUUAGAAGCCAUGAAACGUAUAAUCGGGAUGGUGGCAAAGGGAAGGGACGCAUCAGAGCUGUUUCCAGCUGUUGUCAAGAAUGUAGUGUCCAAGAACAUUGAGGUAAAGAAGCUGGUGUAUGUUUACCUGGUUCGUUAUGCGGAAGGCCAGCAAGAUCUCGCUCUUCUUUCCAUAUCGACGUUUCAAAGAGCCCUGAAGGACCCUAAUCAGUUAAUAAGAGCAAGUGCUCUAAGAGUACUGUCUAGCAUACGAGUUCCUAUGAUAGUACCCAUUGUGAUGCUCGCCAUUAAAGACUCAGCCAGCGACAUGUCUCCGUAUGUCCGAAAAACUGCUGCUCACGCAAUCCCGAAAUUAUACUCGUUAGAACCUGAGCAGAAAGAGGAGCUGAUAAGUGUGUUGGAGAAGCUGCUGUCCGACAAAACCACUCUCGUGGUGGGCUCUGCAGUAAUGGCUUUCGAAGAAGUCUGUCCGGAGAGGAUAGAUCUCAUCCAUAAGAAUUACCGAAAGUUGUGUAAUUUAUUGGUGGACGUCGACGAGUGGGGUCAAGUGGUUAUCGUCAACAUGCUCACCCGAUACGCCAGAACGCAAUUCGUCAAUCCGAAUACAGAUAACCUAGAAGAGGACGAUAAUCGGCCGUUUUACGACUCCGAUUCCGAUUCCUCUAACAACAAGAAACCAAAGUUCACGUUAGAUCCCGAUCAUCGUUUACUGCUGAGGAACACCAAGCCUUUGUUGCAAAGUCGUAACGCGUCCGUGGUAAUGGCGGUCUCGCAAUUAUAUCACCACGCAGCGCCCAGAAGCGAAGUUAUGACCGCUGCGAAGGCACUGAUCAGAUUGCUGAGAGGGCACAGAGAAGUGCAAAGCAUCGUGCUGCACUGUAUCGCUAGCAUUUCAAUUACGAGAAAGGGUAUGUUCGAGCCUUUCCUGAAGUCGUUCUUCGUGCGUACUUCCGACCCCACUCACAUCAAGCUCCUGAAGCUCGACAUACUGACGAACCUAGCGACCGAGACCAGCAUCAGCGUGAUACUUCGAGAGUUUCAGACGUACAUCUCGAGCAGCGACAAGGAAUUCGUGGGCGCCAGCAUACAGGCUAUCGGCAGAUGCGCGAGUAACAUCAAGGAAGUGACCGACACGUGUCUCAACGGACUGGUUUCAUUAUUGAGCAAUAGAGACGAGGCCAUUGUGGCGGAGAGUGUUGUGGUGAUAAAGAAGCUUCUGCAGACGCAGCCGAACGAGCACAAGGACAUAAUCGCUCACAUGGCCAAGUUAAUGGAUUUCAUCACCGUGCCGCAGGCCAGAGCUUCCAUCCUGUGGCUCUUGGGUGAGUAUUCCGACCGAGUUCCCAAAAUAGCGCCGGAUGUACUGCGGAAGAUGGCGAAGAGCUUCGUGAACGAGCAGGACAUAGUGAAACUGCAGACCCUGAAUCUGGCGGUGAAGCUAUGCCUGAACAAUCCGACGCAGACGAAACCGUUCUGCCAGUACGUCUUCCAGCUCGCCAAGUACGAUCAGAACUACGACAUCAGGGAUCGCGCCCGCUUCCUGCGGCACUUCAUCUUCGACGACGAGACUGGCGCGAAGAAGCUGCCGCAGUUCGCGAAGAAGAUCUUCCUCGCCCCGAAGCCGGCGCCAACUUUAACCUCCAGGUUCAAGGACUCAGAGUAUCAGUUGGGCACUCUGUCCCAUUACCUGGACAUGCCGUGCGCGGGUUAUCGGCAGUUACCGCCUUUCCCGGAAAUCACGCAAGACCCGUCCGUGCGGGACGUCGCGCCAGCGAUCAUGCAAGAGCACAGUAGAGAGGAGAGAUAUGGUAGGAAGGAGAAGAAGGAGAAGAAGAGCAAGGAAAAGGAGAAGCCUUUCUACAGCGACGAAGAAAGCACUCCCGCUGAAGAAUCGGAGAAUCAGUCGUCCAACGACUCCUCGUCCAACGAGUCGUCGGACGAGGACAGCGACUCCUCGGAGUACUCGAGCGAAUCGGAGAAGUCCGAGACGGGCAGCGGGAAGAAGGACGAAACGAAGUCCGACGAUUCCGAGAGCGAGUCAUCUAGUAGCGAAGAAUCGGACUCCGAGGAAGAGAGCGGUACUCAAGAGAGCGAAGAGGAAAAGCCGAAGGUCAUUAAAAAUGAGAAAGUGACGGAGAAGCCGAAAAGCAACUUCGACUUGCUGUUGGAUUUGGAUGACGUCGUUCCAAUGACUCCCGUGAUGACGCCCAGCCUCGGUGGCUUCCUCACUCCGAUUAAUCCAACGAUCACGGACAACGUGCGCGAGGUGACGACAUCCUACGUUCCGUUGACGAAGACCACUCUGUUGAACAGCAUCACCGGGCACGGCCUGAAAGUCGAGUAUAGAUUCACGAGAUCGCAACAUCUAGUCAGUUCGAGUCUGGUCAGCGUCGAAUUGACGUUCUUAAACGAAAGUAACAACGUCAUGAAGGAGAUCCAAGUGGGAAGCAAGAAUCUGCAGAAGGGAAUGUUCAUCCACGAUUUCACGCAAAUACCGUCGUUAGACGCGAACGCCACGCUAUCCUCUACGUUAGGCGUUAAUUUCAACGAUUCCACUCAACCGGCGAAUUUCAACAUCGACUUCACGAUCAACGACGAGAAGCACUCGUGCCCGGUCAGCGUCAAGGCGCCGAUCGGGGAGAUAAUAAGGUCCGUGAUCCUGCCCGAGGGCAUGUUCAACACGGAGAAGGGCAAAUUGAAGGGCAUGAACGAGCACAUAGCGAAGAUACCGUAUUCCGGGAACAAAAAAGUUCUUCCCCAAAAAGUCUUCGAGGCUGCGAACGUCGCGAGGAUAGCCGACGAGGAGGAGAUCAUGCGGUUCGCCGCUCAUACUUUAGCGUCCAAGUCGUUGGUGCUGCUGACAAUGAAGUUCGUCGAAGCCGAGCAACAAUUGGAGAUUUGCGUGAACUGUGAAAAAAUGGUGAUAGGAUCGAUUCUGUUGAACGAAUUGAAAAGUCACUUGAAGUGAGGCACGUGCUGUUGCUUGCGGAACUAAACGAAUACAGACGCGCGUAUCGUGGCGCUUUUACGACACGAGAGAAAGUUCGAAUACUCUUUGUUACGCGAAGACUGCUCUCUUGACACGGCACCAUAUCAGUUGCUGCGACCCGACGAUAUCUGCGCAGUCCGAUAUCUCCCAAAAAUGCAGACGAUACUCCCUCUGACUCGUCAGGAACCUCUUCAAGACUACACAGAGAGAAAGAAAGAGAGAGGAAUCGCCUGUAUUAUUCUCAGAUAUCAGAGCGACAAGCGUGGAGAUUAGAUACCUACUUCUCAACAUGCCGCUCGAGAUCGGCCUGGAGAAGCCGAUGUCCUCGUUCGGGAAGCGCGCGGUCAUGUCGGACAAGAUCUCCGUGCCGAAGC